CACAAGCGGUGGAGUAUGUGGUUUAAUUCGAUGCAACGCGAAGAACCUACCUGGCCUUGACAUCCCGGGAAUUUCCUGGAAACAGGAGAGUGCUUCAUUAGAGAGAACCUGGAGACAGGUGCUGCAUGGCUGUCGUCAGCUCGUGUCGUGAGAUGUUGGGUUAAGUCCCGCAACGAGCGCAACCCUUGCCUUUAGUUGCCAGCAGUUCGGCUGGGCACUCUAAAGGGACUGCCGGUGUCAAACCGGAGGAAGGUGGGGAUGACGUCAAGUCCUCAUGGCCUUUAUGGCCAGGGCUACACACGUACUACAAUGGCCGGUACAAAGGGCAGCGACAUUGCGAGAUGGAGCGAAUCCCGAAAAGCCGGUCUCAGUCCGGAUUGGGGUCUGCAACUCGACUCCAUGAAGUUGGAAUCGCUAGUAAUCGUGGAUCAGCAUGCCACGGUGAAUACGUUCCCGGGCCUU
This 462-nucleotide ribosomal RNA is filed under the name uncultured Desulfobulbus sp. RNAcentral's name for it is "bacterial SSU rRNA". It matches the Rfam family "Bacterial small subunit ribosomal RNA", at positions 924 to 1382 of the family's 1533-position model. Lineage: Bacteria; Pseudomonadati; Thermodesulfobacteriota; Desulfobulbia; Desulfobulbales; Desulfobulbaceae. The record is from RNAcentral.